CGGCUCACAAAGGCGCGCGCGCCGCCACCCCCAACCUUCCCCCUCCCCCUUCCCCUCCUCCUUCGCCAGCCGUAUCACACAUACGCCGUCACGGACUGAGACCGACGAACUGUGUCGUUGCUUGCUUUCCAUAAACGUCUAUUCUCUUUCUCUUCUUUGGUUGAUAUCGCACACUUGCUGCUACACACACACACACACACACACACGCACUCCUUCUUUUGGUGUGUGCAUGCCUCUCCGGACUGUCCCUCUUUCUCAGUAGCUCCAUCGUCGCCACUGCCACGCAACUCACGCGUCUCUUCAUCCGGCGAAGCACUGUUUUCGUUUACAGUGUACGGUGGAUACUCGGUCUUUGGUGCAGGUGACUACAUCCUCUUUCGCAUCUCCGUCCGCCCCGCUGCGCUGACCCCCCCUCCUACCUGCGUGCCCGCUCUCAUUCCGAUACUCCGACGCGCUUGCACACCCAUUAUGCGCAGCUGCUCGCUGGCACCACCCUCGAUUCCCUUCCUUCACCCCCACUGCCCACGACCACAAUCACCGCUACCACGUACACAGGCCUAUCCCCAUCCAUACACAUUGUGAGGGACCAUAUACUUAUGGAGUCCCACACGGCGGUGACGCCGCCGUCACCAUCAUCACCACCUGCUGCUGAUGCUGCAGUUUUGAACGGGGAUGCCAGGGCAACGGCCACCCGACACUUCCACGUGCAACGCAGCAACGGUGGCGUCAGUGCCCUGGACCACGACAGCACCAGCAGCGAGCGGAUCGCUGCGCCUGUGAGCGAGUUGGAGCCCACAGCCACGGCAGCGAGCUCCAUGAACGCGGCGGUGCCCCACGGUGCCACCCACCCCACCGCGCGUCCUGCAGUGGAUGCGGAGCAGUACUACCAAAACUUGUCUUCUCAAGCCGGCGAGGAGCCGUCGAGGGCAGACGUUGCGACCGCCGCGGUGGGGCGAAACGGUGACCUGCGUCGCGACAGCCCACAGCGGCAGCACCGCUCUGUCGCCCAUCUGCACGCAGAAACCGUCGCAGUCGAGGACAGUACCCCCUGCCCGCACCGGGCGGGCCGCCACCAUAAUCAUCACCACUGCCACCGCGCUCAUCGCCGUACCCAUCAUAGCCACCCAGCAAGAGCGAGGAAAGCGGUGGUACCCAAAGCCACUACUACCACUGCUGCUGCGCCAGCUGCUGACACGCACCCGCGUACCUUCUCCCAAGACCUGCUCCUGGUCCAGCACUCCGGCACGAGCGACAGGAGUGGCAGUCGCGACUCUAGCUGCCCUUCUAGCAGCAACAGCGGCAAUCACAGCACUCGCAGCUACGACACCUUCACAGCAGACUGCAGCUCGGCCACGAGCUUCAUAUCCCUCCAGACCCCGGUUAACUUGAUCGACACGACAUACCAAACGUUGCUUUCUCCGGAGCUGUCGCGGCUCAAUCGCGAGGCCAUCGUGGAGCGCAUCGUCGGACAUCGCCCGCGUGCGUACCACACGUGGGCGUGGCGCAAAGCAAGAGACUACCAGGAGCUGCACGCACUGAACAUUCACAAGAACAGCGCGUAUCAGCAGCCGACCACAGCUGCUGGUCGCUCCAUAGUGAUGGAAGCCGGGGCAGGGGGUGUGACCACGGCGCGCCUGCACGCCGCCUUCAAGGUGUCGCCGACAGCCUCCUCGCCGCCGCCGCUGGGUGACGUCGCCGGUGGUGUCUCCCUGGGCAGCGGGAAGGCGUCGUUGGAGACACCACUGCCGACCGCGCCGUCGGACCCGUCCUCGAGUCCAGUCGCCCGCGUCGUCGGGCUUGCGGACGCCGGGGAAGGCGUGAGCGACGCUGGAAGGUGCGCCAUGGCGGAGAGUUUGGCCCACACAUCGACCACCGCCGCACCGCCGCCGCCGGAGUCCCCUCCGGGUUCACAUUUCUUGCCGACGACCGGCAGCUCCGACAAGGUGGCCGGUGGUUCGAGGCUACCACACACCUCUUCCUCCGCUUCAAUCGAUAUGCCCUGUGAACUGAUGAGCCAGCUCCCCAUGUAUACGAUACCGACGUCGCAACAGGGGCCCGAGUACUUCAAGACGGCCGCCCAGGGCGGCAACAACACGCUGAUCAUCGUCAUGAUGGGCCUGCCCGCCCGCGGCAAGACAUUCCUGGCGCAAAAAAUUUGCCGGCUGCUGGGGUGGCACGGGAGCCGCGCGAAGAUGCAGAACAUCCAGGUAGCGUGGCGCCGCAUGCUGCUAGACUGGGAGGCGGCGCACCCAGAGAUGGCGGCUUGCGGCGCGCACGCAGAAGCAGAGCAGGAGAAGGAGCAGGAGCAGGAGGCAAGUGCGCCCGCUCGUGAAGGGAUCGUCGCCGACGAGGUGCUGUCUGGCGAGCGAGGCGCCUCCCAUGGGAUUCCGCGACCUACAGGAACGCCAGCUGACGAGGGCACCACCACAGCCUCUUCACCGGCUGCUGCGAGCAUAGCGCCGGCACCGCCCGCGUUUACUCGGCCAAACUGUCUUGCGCACACCAGCUCGACACCGGCCGCGCGCGACUUGGCGACGGGGUCCCUGAACGCAUCCGCGCGGUGUGCUGUGACUGCAAGCCUGAGCAGCGGGUCCGCGCUGACUUCAUCCACGCCCUCUGCGACGAAGACUACUGCGGCGACAGCCACCACCGCGAACGCCGCUUUCACAGCAGGGUACGGCUACACCUGCACCCUCUCCGACACUGGCGUCGCUGCAGGGCCACUGACGUCCGCGAGCACCUCCAUUGUCUGCCUCGACUGCAGCGCAUCACCCGUGUGCCCGUCCAUGCAGGCGCACACGGCCUCCUCGCUCGAGGACAGCACCGCGAUACCCGCAUCAGACGUUGCUUCUGCCUCUUUAUUAUCAGGGACGCGCUUCCCCGCUCACGCGGUGGCCGACGUCACCGCGAAUGGCCCGCGUGGUCUCGUCGCACGGCACUCGUCGACUGCCGCCAUGUCAGCGGAGACGACGAGCGACGGCGGCGGGCCGAGCCUCGAGGCUUCUGCAGGGGCGUCGCCGCGCACGGCUGCCGGCGUCGACGGCUUCCCGCCGCCGCCGCCGGAGGUGCUGCGCACUCGGCACUUCCGAGAGCUCAUCGAGCAGCCUACGAGCGUCGCUCGGCGCCUGUACCGCUACGCGCUGCAGAGAUUUGCAGAGGACUGCCGCCUCUUCUUCCAGCACGGCGGCGAGGUGGUUGUGUUGAACGACGACUUCAUUACAGAGGAGCUGAGGCAGGAGGCGGAGGCGCUGUUCCGCCCACUGGCGACGCAGUUCUUCUACAUAGAGGUGAUCCGAGACGCCGAGGAGGACCCGCUCGACUUCGUGCGGUGCAAGAUUCGCGAUCCGAUGGAGUAUCCGCUCAGCGUCAUCGACCCCGCGUCGGCCUCUGACGACUUCCGCGAGCGGCUGGCAUUUUUGGAGAGCGUUUACGAGACGCUGACGGAGGCUCCCAAUACGAAGAAGAACGCGCUACAGACGCCAACCGCGCGUGCUGCUGGGGCUGCCGCGAGCGCCGACAUCGCGAAUGGCCUCGAUGCCAAGGCGUCGGUCGAGCGUGACACGGGGCUUGCCUGCCCGCCCACGACGUCGCCGGAGUCAACGCACCACCGGCAGCAGUCGACGCGGACGCGCGGCUACGUGAAGAUCAUGAACUCGAGCACGAUUGAGACCCACGGCAUCUCUGGUUACCUGGCCAGCCGCAUAAUCUCUUACGUCAUGAACCUGUCGCAGGUGAAGAUCCAGCAUCCCAUCUACUUUGUGCUUCACGGCGAGAGCCACUACAACGUGGAGGGCCGCAUCGGUGGCAACCCGCCGCUCACGGAACAGGGCAUGCGGGACGCUGUGGCGCUGCUCGAGUUCCUUGACUCGCUGAAGCGCCACCUCGAACACGUGGACCGUGUGCAGCGCGCACAUCAUCACAAUCAACAACGCCUUCGCUCGGGAGCGGCCGGCAACGACGAGGGCAGCAGCACGGCAGCUGAAGCUUCUCCAAACACGGCCAGUACGCUGGAGAUGUGGACAAGCCAGCUGCGGCGCGCCAUUCAGACCACUGAACUGAGCGAGCGUCUGCUGAACAUCCGCACGCUGCGCUGGAGCAGCCUCAACGAGAUCCACGCCGGGGUAUGCGAGGACAUGACGUACGCCGAGGUGAAGGAGCGCUACCCGCUCAUCGACUACUUUAGCAAGCUCAACAAGUACAGCUUCCGGUACCCCGAGGGCGAGAGCUACCAGGACCUCGUCAUUCGACUGGAGCCCGUCAUCAUGGAGCUCGAGAACGCCGACAAGGUCGUUGUCGUCGUGGCGCACCAGGCAGUGCUGCGCUGCUUGCUUGCCUACUUUGGCAGCACCUCGGCGGAGAGCAGUAUCGGUGUCGAGGUGCCGCAUCGCACGGUUUGGCGCUGCACGUACGAUUCGAAGGGGAUCGCCAUCCUGGAUGAGUUGAAGCUGGACAGCAAUGAGGCGGGCUUCCACCUUCCGAGAGGAGAGGGCUCGCCAACGGCGUCGGCAGCGAACGCGUCGAGCGCCUGAGACAGCGAUGAUUGAAGGGCUCCGUCGCCCCUCCCUUCUCUACUGACCUCCGCGGCAACGGAAGGAGGGCACGAAGCAAGCGCCGCCAGCCAUUGUGUGUGUGUGUGUGUAAGACGGCUGCGCCUCAUGAAGCUGUGGGUGGCACGAAAUGCGGGCAUGUCGGCAGUGCCCUCACCACCCACAGCCCUCCCUUCGCCUUCCACGGAAGACGCUACGCGUGUCCAUGUGUGAGGGAGAGCGCGCGCGGCCCACUUAUACUCCGUGUGGUCGUCAUCACCGUUGCCGCCGAUCCCAUCAUCACCACCACCAAACCGCGCCGUCCGUGUACCGAGCGCGUCUGUUGGCGCCGCCUUCAUAAAGAAAGGCAUAUCAAAAGCGGGCCGUGCUAGCGGGCGAGGCGGAGCAGCGGGCCGCCACAGCCACAGCGCAGACACCAACAAACAUCACAGAGGACUGAAUUGCAGAAGCGACUCACUAGCUCCUCCCCCCUGCCCCCAUCCCGCCCAGCCCCACCACACCUCUUCCUGCUUGUGUAUCUGCCCCAUCGGCACAGGCCACACACACACACGCACAGACACCCUCUGCAGAAGGGCCACUGCCCUUCUCUCUCUACGUAUUUCAUGUGAUUCUUUACGCUCUUUUCGUGCUCUUCCGCCUUACUCGUAUGCUUAUGUAUGUGUGUGAGCUUGCUUGUAUGCGGACGUGUGGAGAUGGCUGUCUGGGUCUGACUGACGGACGGACGGACGGACGGACGGUGUGUAUAUGGAGGGAGGGAGUCUGCUUUCGGGUUUGGAUUUUUCUGGUGUGAUGCUCGUUAUCCUUUUCUCUUUUCGCAUGUGUAUAUGCGUGUGCGGGUAGGCGUUUGUGCGUGUGUCUGCGUUGUGUCUGGCGGCUUCUUGUCGUCAGAGUUGUGCGCGGGGCUCACGCCUUUGCGCGCAAUCUCCCCUCCCGUCCCUCUGACUGCUUUUUGUUCCCCGCAGCCGUGUUGCUCUCUCGCGUGUGCAUGUGCAUGUGCGUGUGCGUGUGUGUGUGUGUGUGCAUCCGCGGCGUAGUCGACGUCGCAUGCGCGCACGCGCAAGCACCUCGCCGUCCUUUUUCUCUCUCUUUCCUUUACGUCUUGCUUUCUUUUUGUAUUUGCGUAGCCCGCCUAUGACAACACGUCGCUCCUUCUUCUUCCUUCCUCCUUCCCCCCUCUCUCUCCCCCUCCUUCCCUAUCACGAUGACUACCACCACUCCGCCAUUGCCUCUCUCUCCGCGUAACGUACACGUCAGCAUUGGCGGAUCAUCAUGCGCAGCAGCUCUCUUGUGCUUUCAUGUUUCGAUUAUGAAUGUCUUCUCCUCCGUCGGGGGCGCACAGGCACCGACACGGACGCUGCGUGCGUGCACGCCUACAUGCACCCGUACACACCCGACUGCACC
This 5948-nucleotide unclassified non-coding RNA is filed under the name Leishmania donovani. RNAcentral describes it as "gene:LdHU3.07.1040(CDS-product:6-phosphofructo-2-kinase/fructose-26-biphosphatase_putative)". The record is from RNAcentral. Lineage: Eukaryota; Euglenozoa; Kinetoplastea; Trypanosomatida; Trypanosomatidae.